Long non-coding RNA from Macadamia integrifolia, 430 nucleotides. RefSeq lists it as uncharacterized. NCBI's taxonomy places the organism in Eukaryota, Viridiplantae, Streptophyta, Magnoliopsida, Proteales, Proteaceae. The transcript has 2 exons. The record is from RefSeq and is a predicted model, not a curated record.
GAAUUUGAGAAGAUCCCAGAGAAUCAACACCCACAUGGUAGUUACCCUUUGAAGGAUCAUGAGCACUUUUCCACGAAGUGAAUCUGUUGUUUCUCACCCGUCUCUGGAUUAUAUAGUCCAUUAUCAUAGCAGAGCUCGUAUGGGUGCGGGGCAUAGCCCCAUGGUAUGGUUCGACCAGAUUGAUUAUGAUCCGAUGGGUCGACCCACGAUCUGGAGUAUAUAAUGUACUAUAUAUGGAGUAUUCUCGUUGUAAUUUGGGAGUUUUUUGAAUUAAGGUUUCAGGGCGAGAAACUCGCAUUUACUUGGGUAUAAUCUCUCUUCUACAUAGUGAAACAUCUUCUUCUUACACCUUUGUAAUGAGUGGCGCGAUUGGCGCUCACCCUACUGUAUUGGUUUGUUAGAGAAAUAAAAUUGCUUUUAAAAUGCAAAA